GACGAACGCUGGCGGCGCGCUUAACACAUGCAAGUCGAACGGAAAGGCCCUGCUUUUGUGGGGUGCUCGAGUGGCGAACGGGUGAGUAACACGUGAGUAACCUGCCCUUGACUUUGGGAUAACUUCAGGAAACUGGGGCUAAUACCGGAUAGGAGCUCCUGCUGCAUGGUGGGGGUUGGAAAGUUUCGGCGGUUGGGGCUGGACUCGCGGCUUAUCCGCUUGUUGGUGGGGUAGUGGCUUACCAAGGCUUUGACGGGUAGCCGGCCUGAGAGGGUGAACGGGCACAGUGGGACUGAGAGACGGCCCAGACGCCUACGGGAGGCAGCAGGGGGGAAUAUUGCACAAUGGGCGGAAGCCUGAUGCAGCAACGCCGCGUGCGGGAUGACGGCCUUCGGGUUGUAAACCGCUUUCGCCUGUGACGAAGCGUGAGUGACGGUAAUGGGUAAAGAAGCACCGGCUAACUACGUG
This 468-nucleotide ribosomal RNA is filed under the name uncultured bacterium. RNAcentral describes it as "partial 16S ribosomal RNA". It matches the Rfam family "Bacterial small subunit ribosomal RNA", at positions 28 to 507 of the family's 1533-position model. The record is from RNAcentral.